Molecule: ribosomal RNA, 245 nt
Filed under: uncultured bacterium
Lineage: Bacteria
Description: partial 16S ribosomal RNA
Rfam family: Bacterial small subunit ribosomal RNA
Source: RNAcentral
CCCGGGCGACCGGGUGGAGGUAACGCGUAUGCAACUUACCUAUCAGAGGGGGAUAACCCGGCGAAGUACGGACUAAUACCGCAUGAAGCAGGGGCCCCGCAUGGGGAGUAUUUGCUAAAGAUUCAUCGCUGAUAGAUAGGCAUGCGUUCCAUUAGGCAGUUGGCGGGGUAACGGCCCACCAAGCCGACGAUGGAUAGGGGUUCUGAGAGGAAGGUCCCCCACAUUGGUACUGAGACACGGUCCAA